UAGGAAGAUUUAUUUUGCAUUGGAUGGCAGAAUAGUGGUACUCAAUCAAGGGAUAAAUGGAACCUCACGCUUUUCGGAGAUUUGGUACUCUCAAAUAAGCUAGUCUUGUAUGAUCUUGAAAACCAGGCCAUUGGUUGGACCGACUAUAAUUGCUCAUCAAGCAUUGAAUUAAAAGACGAAAUUACUGGAUCAGUUCGUUUAGUAGGUGCUCACUCCCUGUCAAGUGGUUCUAGUUUGACAGCUCAAACGGCUCUAACAAUAUUCUUUUUGUUAGUAGUUCUGCUGCACAACUAUCUAUUCAACUGGUAAAAUCUGGUCAGUAUUAGCUUCUGGUGUACCUGAGACGAGAAUUGUUCGUUUGACUGUGAAAAUAACUUUUCAAAGUAUUGAUACAGCAGCUUGUGGCUGUCGACCGGGUGUGCAUAUUUUACAUUCAGAAUGGACUGCAAAAGCAAAGCUGAAAUAUAGAACAGAUUAACAGAAAAUUCCAUUUUGUAUGUAGCUGGCUUAUGUUGCAAAAUGCAUACUGUAAGUAGAACUCUGGAUAUAUUUUCUGUGUUCCGCUUGUUAUAACACAAGUUUCUUGACGAAUUAAAUUGUCUUAAUAGCUUUUUUGCUUUAAAAAAAAAGGGCAGCCUAGUGUACAAGGUAUCCCGCAUUCACGCAGGAUCUGAGAAAGGGCCGCACCCCAAGGGGUGUGAUGUAGACAUCCUACCCUAUUGCAAGCAUUAGUGACUGCUUCUAUGGCUCGAACCCGUGACCU
Non-coding RNA from Nicotiana tabacum (common tobacco), 763 nucleotides. NCBI's taxonomy places the organism in Eukaryota, Viridiplantae, Streptophyta, Magnoliopsida, Solanales, Solanaceae. The record is from RefSeq and is a predicted model, not a curated record.